Molecule: ribosomal RNA, 486 nt
Filed under: uncultured bacterium
Lineage: Bacteria
Description: bacterial SSU rRNA
Rfam family: Bacterial small subunit ribosomal RNA
Source: RNAcentral
CGAACGCUGGCGGCGCGUUUUAAGCAUGCAAGUCGAACGGUAAUAGAGUGCUUGCACUCUAUGAGAGUGGCGAACGGGUGAGUAACACGUAGAUGAUCUAUCUUUGGAUCUGGGAUAGCCUGUGGAAACACAGGGUAAUACCGGAUACGACCUUAUGACUACGGUUGUAAGGGGAAAGUCGCUUAGGCGACGUCCGAGGCUGAGUCUGCGGCUCAUUAGCUUGUUGGUAGGGUAAUGGCCUACCAAGGCGACGAUGAGUAGCCGGCCUGAGAGGGUGAUCGGCCACACUGGGACUGAGACACGGCCCAGACUCCUACGGGAGGCAGCAGCUAAGAAUCUUCCGCAAUGGGGGAAACCCUGACGGAGCGACGCCGCGUGAACGAUGAAGGCCGGAAGGUUGUAAAGUUCUUUUCCUGGGGGAGAAUAACACCUGGAGGUAAUGCCAGGUGGAUGACGUGAACCAGGGAAUAAGCCCCGGCUAAUUAC